This 924-nucleotide ribosomal RNA is filed under the name Microbacterium sp. Its description in RNAcentral is "bacterial SSU rRNA". The record is from RNAcentral. Lineage: Bacteria; Bacillati; Actinomycetota; Actinomycetes; Micrococcales; Microbacteriaceae.
GAGCCAAGCUUGCUUGGUGGAUCAGUGGCGAACGGGUGAKUAACACGUGAGCAACCUGCCCUGGACUCUGGGAUAAGCGCUGGAAACGGCGUCUAAUACUGGAUAUGAGACGUGAUCGCAUGGUCGUGUUUGGAAAGAUUUUUCGGUCUGGGAUGGGCUCGCGGCCUAUCAGCUUGUUGGUGAGGUAAUGGCUCACCAAGGCGUCGACGGGUAGCCGGCCUGAGAGGGUGACCGGCCACACUGGGACUGAGACACGGCCCAGACUCCUACGGGAGGCAGCAGUGGGGAAUAUUGCACAAUGGGCGGAAGCCUGAUGCAGCAACGCCGCGUGAGGGAUGACGGCCUUCGGGUUGUAAACCUCUUUUAGCAGGGAAGAAGCGAAAGUGACGGUACCUGCAGAAAAAGCGCCGGCUAACUACGUGCCAGCAGCCGCGGUAAUACGUAGGGCGCAAGCGUUAUCCGGAAUUAUUGGGCGUAAAGAGCUCGUAGGCGGUUUGUCGCGUCUGCUGUGAAAUCCCGAGGCUCAACCUCGGGCCUGCAGUGGGUACGGGCAGACUAGAGUGCGGUAGGGGAGAUUGGAAUUCCUGGUGUAGCGGUGGAAUGCGCAGAUAUCAGGAGGAACACCGAUGGCGAAGGCAGAUCUCUGGGCCGUAACUGACGCUGAGGAGCGAAAGGGUGGGGAGCAAACAGGCUUAGAUACCCUGGUAGUCCACCCCGUAAACGUUGGGAACUAGUUGUGGGGACCAUUCCACGGUUUCCGUGACGCAGCUAACGCAUUAAGUUCCCCGCCUGGGGAGUACGGCCGCAAGGCUAAAACUCAAAGGAAUUGACGGGGACCCGCACAAGCGGCGGAGCAUGCGGAUUAAUUCGAUGCAACGCGAAGAAACCUUACCAAGGGCUUGACAUAUACGAGAACGGGCCCAG